This 29-nucleotide non-coding RNA is filed under the name Homo sapiens (human). Lineage: Eukaryota; Metazoa; Chordata; Mammalia; Primates; Hominidae. The record is from RNAcentral.
UGAUGCACAUCCUACUCUUGUAACCUAUG